AGUGAACGCUGGCGGUAGGCCUAACACAUGCAAGUCGAACGGCAGCACAGUAAGAGCUUGCUCUUACGGGUGGCGAGUGGCGGACGGGUGAGGUAUACAUCGGAAUCUACUUUUUCGUGGGGGAUAAGGUAGGGAAACUUACGCUAAUACCGCAUACGACCUACGGGUGAAAGCAGGGGAUCUUCGGACCUUGCGCGAUUGAAUGAGCCGAUGUUGGAUUAGCUAGUUGGCGGGGUAAAGGCCAACCAAGGCGACGAUCCGUAGCUGGUCUGAGAGGAUGAUCAGCCACACUGGAACUGGGACACGGUCCAGACGCCUACGGGAGGCAGCAGUGGGGAAUAUUGGACAAUGGGCGCAAGCCUGAUCCAGCCAUACCGCGUGGGUGAAGAAGGCCUUCGGGUUGUAAAGCCCUUUUGUUGGGAAAGAAAAGCAGCAGGUUAAUACCCCGCGGUUCUGACGGUACCCAAAGAAUAAGCACCGGCUAACUUCGUG
RNAcentral lists this ribosomal RNA (492 nucleotides) under uncultured bacterium. RNAcentral's name for it is "partial 16S ribosomal RNA". It matches the Rfam family "Bacterial small subunit ribosomal RNA", at positions 29 to 507 of the family's 1533-position model. The record is from RNAcentral.